GCAAGGGGAGAGGAAAGUCCGAGCAACGCAGAGCACCGUACAAGUUAACGGCUUGAUAUCCGAGAGGGUAUAGCAGCGUAACAGAAAACGACCGCCCGUCAUGGGUAAGGGUGAAAAGGCGGGGUAAGAGCCCACCGCGAGGGCAGUGAUGUCGCUCGGCAGUACGUCUUACGGGUUGCAAGGUUAUGUAUAUCGGCAAUUAAGGGUUGCUCGCCCGAUGUCGAGGGGUAAACCGCUUGAAGUCGCAGGCGACUGCGAUUGUAGAUAAAUGAUGGACUAAAACAGAACUCGGCUUACGGA
RNAcentral lists this RNase P RNA (300 nucleotides) under uncultured Alistipes sp. RNAcentral's name for it is "Bacterial RNase P class A". It matches the Rfam family "Bacterial RNase P class A", at positions 34 to 352 of the family's 367-position model. From Rfam's summary of the family: Ribonuclease P (RNase P) is a ubiquitous endoribonuclease, found in archaea, bacteria and eukarya as well as chloroplasts and mitochondria. Its best characterised activity is the generation of mature 5'-ends of tRNAs by cleaving the 5'-leader elements of precursor-tRNAs. Lineage: Bacteria; Pseudomonadati; Bacteroidota; Bacteroidia; Bacteroidales; Rikenellaceae. The record is from RNAcentral.